This 1639-nucleotide long non-coding RNA is filed under the name Solanum tuberosum (potato). Its description in RNAcentral is "long non-coding RNA (STUB_LNC000134)". Lineage: Eukaryota; Viridiplantae; Streptophyta; Magnoliopsida; Solanales; Solanaceae. The record is from RNAcentral.
UUUUCAAAUUUCAUUGAUUCAUUCAUUCACACAUACAUAGAUAUGAUGAAUUCAUUACACUGAUUCAAGCAGCCCUAAACGUUUUCCAUUUAUAAAGGAUUUCGCUGGUUUUCAGGAUUGGGGUAAACGGAAGAAUAAAGGGUCUCCCAUUCAAAUGCCAUUGGUCUCGGAAGAGACCCCGAACUUCAGAUUUGAAGCGAUCAAGAUUGUUUAAUUGGUGUCGUGUUUCUGAUGGUGAAAAAAACACCAUUGUGUUCGUAUUGUUUAAGGAAUCAAGAAAAGGGUAGUGGCAUCAUUGGGGGUGCUGGGAUUGUGGAGGAUUGGGAUUGGGUGGUGAUUGGAGUUACAGGAGGAAGAUGCAGCUGCACUUCUCACCUAGCAUGAGAAGUAUAACAAUAUCGAGCAGCAAUAACAAUGGAGGGUUUGGUGAAUUAAUGAAGAUCAAACUCGCACCUCGCCAUUUCAACUAUAGAAGACUCUUUCAUACAAUACUUCUCCUAGCUUUUUUGUUGCCUUUUGUCUUCAUUCUCACUGCUCUUGUUACCCUUGAAGGCGUCAACAAGUGCUCCUCAUUUGGUACUUAAAAUCAAUAUCCUUUUUCCUUUAUACAAUUAGCUUCCUAAUCCUGAUGUAUUUUACACCAUUGCUGGUUCCUUUUCAGUGGAUGUUCAUGUUUUCCUUUUCUUGUUAUUGUUCCGUAGCUUAUAUUGUAUAUUGCGAUUCCUUUCUUUUUAACUUUCAUCAGUUAUGUUAUCGACCCGGUCUAGUUUGGCAUUGAGACAAACUUCUUCUUGUUAUUUCUUUGUCGACAAUGCAGUAUAGCUGUUUUUAUUUAUCAGUUUAGAUUGUUGUCAAUGUUAUUGAAACUGUGAUGAUUAAUUUGACAUCAGGAUUGUGUAACAUUAAGGGGAAAGUUGAGUUCUCUCUUUCCCGAGCCUAGUGAUGUCUUCAACUUGAUGGCAAGUACCCUCAUAAAAAGGGAAGGACAAAGAUACUGAUAAAUGAGUUGUAACAACUUAUUGUAAUCCUUGAUAUACUUUGAUUCAACUUUGGUAGCAGAAACAUGAUUGAAUUCAAUUCAUGGAUGUCUAUGCAUGCAAGAGAGAGGGUUGCUGAUGGAUGGGGGUGGGGGGCAUGCUUAGUUAAUAUUUUUGGUUGUUUGCACCUGUGGUAUCUAGUAAACACCAGCUUAUGUUUGUAGGGGACUGCGGUCUUCUUAUAUAUGUAAGAAAUGCUACCUUCUGCAUUUUGUGGAGUCUAGAAAAUGUUAAUUGUUGGCACAUGUAACUCAGUGCUAUCUUGAAGCACAAGGACUUUUGCAUCAUAUCUCCUGAUCAUGUCUUUUUGUUGUUCUUGGAUGUCAUUCAGUGCUCUUCUUUCUGUUCCGUAGAAAAAAAGAAGACCCCUUCCCUGGUUGGGUUCUUUUGGGGUUUGGGACCCUGCCUCAAAGUACCAGUGUGUAUAAGGAUCCUGUUUGAUUAGUAUUGUUGAAUUUGGUUAUGAUGCUUGUAAUAGCUGCUUCUUUUCAUUGCUCAGUUUACUUCUGACUAUUGUUAUAUCACACUUUACUUUUGAUUUGUUACAACAAAACUAAAGUUCUGGCAAACCUUAACUUUACUCUCGUUUAAUCGAUAUUCAG